Molecule: ribosomal RNA, 486 nt
Filed under: uncultured bacterium
Lineage: Bacteria
Description: partial 16S ribosomal RNA
Rfam family: Bacterial small subunit ribosomal RNA
Source: RNAcentral
GACGAACGCUGGCGGCGUGCUUAACACAUGCAAGUCGAACGGGCCUUGUCCCCUUUUUUUUUGGGGGUGGGGGUAGUGGGGAACGGGUGAGUAACACUUGAGUAACCUUCCCCUCACUUUUGGAUAACCGCUUUAAAGGGAGUCCAAUACGGGGGGUUCUGGCCUGCUCGCAUGGUUGGGUUUUGAAAGAGGCGGGGGGUGUAGUCGCGGUUUGUGAGGUUGUUGGUGGGGUGCUGGCAUGCUGAGGGUGUGACGGGUAGCCGGCGUGGGAGGGUGUGGGGGGCCAGUGGGACUGAGACACGGCACAGACUCCUACGGGAGGCAGAAGUGGGGAAUAGUGCAAGAUGGGCGGAAGCCUGAUGAAGCGACGCCGCGUGAGGGAUGGAGGCCUUCGGGUUGUGAACCUCUUUCGGCAGUGAAGAAGGUCCUGCUCUUUGUGGUGGGGUUGACGGUAGCUGGGGUAAUGAAGCGACGGCUAACUGCGUG